RNAcentral lists this long non-coding RNA (283 nucleotides) under Homo sapiens (human). RNAcentral's name for it is "HSALNT0356753". The record is from RNAcentral. Lineage: Eukaryota; Metazoa; Chordata; Mammalia; Primates; Hominidae.
UUCUUUCUUUCUUUCUUUCUUUCUUUCUUUCCUUGCUUUCUUGCUUGCUUGCUUUCUUGCUUUCUUUCUUGCUUGCUUGCUUUUUCUUUUCUUUCUUUUCUUUCUCUUUCUUGCUUGCUUGCUUGCUUUCUUGCUUGCUUGCUUUCUUGCUUUCUUUCUUGCUUGCUUGCUUUCUCUUUCUUUCUUUCUUUCUUGCUUGCUUUCUUUCUUCUUUCUCUUUCUUUCUUUCUUCUUUCUUUUCCUUUCUUCCUUUCUUUUUUUUUUGACAGUCUCACUCUCUCAC